Molecule: ribosomal RNA, 344 nt
Filed under: Firmicutes bacterium oral taxon C68
Lineage: Bacteria; Bacillati; Bacillota
Description: bacterial SSU rRNA
Rfam family: Bacterial small subunit ribosomal RNA
Source: RNAcentral
GACGAACGCUGGCGGCGUGCCUAAUACAUGCAAGUGGGACGCAAGAGAACACACUGUGCUUGCACACCGUGUUUUCCUGAGUCGCGAACGGGUGAGUAACGCGUAGGUAACCUGCCUAUUAGCGGGGGAUAACUAUUGGAAACGAUAGCUAAUACCGCAUAAUAUUAAUUAUUGCGUGAUAAUUGAUUGAAAGAUGCAAGCGCAUCACUAGUAGAUGGACCUGCGUUGUAUUAGCUAGUUGGUAAGGUAAGAGCUUACCAAGGCGACGAUACAUAGCCGACCUGAGAGGGUGAUCGGCCACACUGGGACUGAGACACGGCCCAGACUCCUACGGGAGGCAGCAG